This 492-nucleotide ribosomal RNA is filed under the name uncultured bacterium. Its description in RNAcentral is "partial 16S ribosomal RNA". It matches the Rfam family "Bacterial small subunit ribosomal RNA", at positions 28 to 507 of the family's 1533-position model. The record is from RNAcentral.
GAUGAACGCUAGCUACAGGCUUAACACAUGCAAGUCGAGGGGAAACGACAUCGAAAGCUUGCUUUUGAUGGGCGUCGACCGGCGCACGGGAGAGUAAUGCGUAUCCAACCUGCCUAUCACUUGUGAAUAACAUUGCGAAAGUAAGACGAAUACCCAAUGACAUCCCACGAAGACAUCGGAAUGGGAUGAAAGAUUUAUCGGUGAUGGAUGGGGAUGCGUCUGAUUAGCUUGUUGGCGGGGUAACGGCCCACCAAGGCAACGAUCAGUAGGGGUUCUGAGAGGAAGGUCCCCGACAUUGGAACUGGGACACUGUCCAAAGUCCUACGGGAGGGAGCAGUGAGGGAUAUUGGUCUAUGGGCGAGAGCCUGAACCAGCCAAGUAGCGUGCAGGAUGACGGCCCUAUGGGUUGUAACCUGCUUUUAUAAGGGAGUAAAGUGGGUUUCGUGAGACUUUUUGCCUGUACCUUAUGAAUAAGGACCGGCUAAUUCCGUG